CAGCCCAGCUCCAGUGUUUCCACCCAUCUGUUGGCAGCCCCUGCAGUAACAACCCCCCUCACUCACUCUCUCCCCACAACCUGGAUAUUUCAGACCAAUUUGCUCUUGUCAGCUCAGCCACGAGACAGUUAAUUGCAUGGCUACAAACAGGGAACCACGCACAGGACUUCAGGAAAGUCACCAGCAGGGACGACGACACUCUCAAAAUGGACCCAGAAGAGCUGCAAAAUGACCAUGAUAAUGAUUUAGGUGGGCACACCCAGUUUGAAGCAUCGAUCAAAGCCCUCAGCCCAGUUCAGCAUCAGGAGGUGUUACCCGAGGGCACUGGGCCCCCAUCACAGAUGGAGCAAAGAUAACCCUGCAGGAGCCUCGAGCAUCAGGGCACAAAGAAGAAAUCAAAAGUGGUACAAAAUCUCAGCAAAGGGAAGGGAGUGAAGGAGAUGCUGGUGCAGCUGCACAGAGCAACCAGCUUGGUCUGAAUGCCAAUUUUUGGGGCUUCCUAAUGAUUUCAUCACAGACAGGACAAACUGGAUCAGCUGCAAGCUGGGUCCAUGCAGAUGUACCAGGAAAAUUUGCCUGUUUUCCUGGUGGAAGAUAUUCCAAAACCACUCAGUAAAUGGCAAGUGCUUAUUUCCAGGAUAAUUUGUCGCUAUUUCCUUUGGAUCUUUUGCUUGUUUCGUGAGAGAAAAAAAAAUACAAGUUCCAUUUAAUAAAAAACA
Pseudopipra pipra is the source of this 719-nucleotide long non-coding RNA. RefSeq lists it as uncharacterized. Lineage: Eukaryota; Metazoa; Chordata; Aves; Passeriformes; Pipridae. The record is from RefSeq and is a predicted model, not a curated record. The transcript has 3 exons.